CACGUAAGGGGCGAGCGUUGUUCGGAAUUAUUGGGCGUAAAGGGCGUGUAGGCGGUUUCGUAAGCUUGGUGUAAAAGGCGUUGGCUCAACCAACGUUUUGCGCUGAGAACUGCGAAGCUAGAGUUCAGGAGAGGGAACUGGAAUUCCAGGUGUAAGGGUAAAAUCUGUAGAUAUCUGGAAGAACGCCAGAGACGAAGGUGAGUUCCUGGCCAUGGACUGACGCUGAGGCGCGAAAGCGUGGGGAG
Molecule: ribosomal RNA, 245 nt
Filed under: uncultured bacterium
Lineage: Bacteria
Description: partial 16S ribosomal RNA
Rfam family: Bacterial small subunit ribosomal RNA
Source: RNAcentral